UUGUCUCGGAAUCAAGGCUGGCAGUUUGUUCAAACUGUUGUUUUCAAAGAGGAGCCUAAAGAAACCUCUUUCUAUGGUCUGUUGGCUAUUUCAGAAACGUGAAAAUGUAAUGGUCAAUUCAUUAAAAAGAAACAUCU
Small nucleolar RNA from Jaculus jaculus (lesser Egyptian jerboa), 137 nucleotides. The record is from Ensembl. NCBI's taxonomy places the organism in Eukaryota, Metazoa, Chordata, Mammalia, Rodentia, Dipodidae.